This 261-nucleotide long non-coding RNA is filed under the name Lathyrus oleraceus (garden pea). RNAcentral describes it as "Pisum sativum (pea) long non-coding RNA (PSAT_LNC029184)". Lineage: Eukaryota; Viridiplantae; Streptophyta; Magnoliopsida; Fabales; Fabaceae. The record is from RNAcentral.
CACCCUUAAAACCAUAGAGCAAAGAAAAAGAAAAGAAAGAAAAAAGUAAAGAAAAUGCUCAUGGUUGUGUGGAUGUGAAAAGAAAAAGAAAAAGAAAAAGAUAGGGACCAAAGAAUGGAAAUUGUGUAGAGUUAAAUGAUGAUGGGAAUGCUCCCUUAGGAUAGGAAACUUUGUUGAAUUCUCUUAAUCAUAUCCUUUCUUGUAACCUAAGCCACAUUACAACCUUUGAAAGACCUCUUGAUUCUCAUUUUUCACAUGAUU